UACGUAGGUGGCGAGCGUUGUCCGGAUUUACUGGGUGUAAAGGGCGUGUAGGCGGGAUAGCAAGUCAGAUGUGAAAUACCAAGGCUUAACUUUGGGGGUGCAUUUGAAACUGUUAUUCUUGAGUGUCGGAGAGGGAAGCGGAAUUCCUAGUGUAGCGGUGAAAUGCGUAGAUAUUAGGAGGAACACCAGUGGCGAAGGCGGCUUUCUGGACGAUAACUGACGCUGAGGCGCGAAAGCGUGGGGAGCGAACAGGAUUAGAUACCCUGGUAGUCCACGCCGUAAACGAUGGAUACUAGGUGUAGGGGGUAUCGACCCCCCCUGUGCCGGAGUUAACACAAUAAGUAUCCCACCUGGGGAGUACGACCGCAAGGUUGAAACUCAAAGGAAUUGACGGGGGCCCGCACAAGCAGUGGAGUAUGUGGUUUAAUUCGAAGCAACGCGAAGAACCUUACCAGGGCUUGACAUCUGCCGAAUCCCAAGAGAUUGGGAGUGCCUUUUAGGAACGGCAAGACAGGUGGUGCAUGGUU
RNAcentral lists this ribosomal RNA (527 nucleotides) under uncultured bacterium. RNAcentral describes it as "bacterial SSU rRNA". It matches the Rfam family "Bacterial small subunit ribosomal RNA", at positions 524 to 1050 of the family's 1533-position model. The record is from RNAcentral.